RNAcentral lists this ribosomal RNA (301 nucleotides) under uncultured bacterium. RNAcentral describes it as "partial 16S ribosomal RNA". It matches the Rfam family "Bacterial small subunit ribosomal RNA", at positions 509 to 809 of the family's 1533-position model. The record is from RNAcentral.
CAGCAGCCGCGGUAAUACGGAGGAUCCAAGCGUUAUCCGGAAUCAUUGGGUUUAAAGGGUCCGUAGGCGGUCUUGUAAGUCAGUGGUGAAAGCCCAUCGCUCAACGGUGGAACGGCCAUUGAUACUGCAGGACUUGAAUUAUUGUGAAGUAACUAGAAUAUGUAGUGUAGCGGUGAAAUGCUUAGAGAUUACAUGGAAUACCAAUUGCGAAGGCAGGUUACUACCAAUUGAUUGACGCUGAUGGACGAAAGCGUGGGUAGCGAACAGGAUUAGAUACCCCUGUAGUCCCUGUCUCUUAUAU